Molecule: long non-coding RNA, 7082 nt
Filed under: Manihot esculenta (cassava)
Lineage: Eukaryota; Viridiplantae; Streptophyta; Magnoliopsida; Malpighiales; Euphorbiaceae
Description: long non-coding RNA (MESC_LNC005585)
Source: RNAcentral
GUCUCUUUUGUUGGCCACUUAAGGAUCCUUUUAUGGGGGAUUUGAGAUGCUGUUUAGGUUUUCAAUUUGCUGUCCACAUGAAAGUGUGAGCUGCUGUCCAUGUGAAAGUGUUCCCACGCUUACCUUUGCACAUGUGAGGCGUGUAGCGUGUGGCUUGGUCCAUGUGUGCAAAGCGUGGGGCUGCCCUCCACUAGCUUGCUGCCCAAGUGUUUCGUGGCUGCCCUUGUGCUUCCAGCAGGCUGCCCAAGACUCAAGUUGCUGCCCUUCACUCACAUACUUUGCCGCCCAACACUAAUAAGGAAGGUGGGGCCUUCCUUCACAAUUUGGAUUUUGAAUGUGCAAGAUAUGUGGUGUGAAGCAUGUGAUCUUUGGAUUUAGCUUCCUUAAUAUACUGAAUCUUGAAAUUCAAAAAUUUGAAUAUGGAUCUUGGAGAUUUGAAUUUCAAAAUGCUUUCCUUAUUUGGCUCUUCAUUUAUGGCAACUUGUGACUUGGCUUCUUAAAUAAGGAAAAGGCUACUUGGAGAUUUGAAAUUUGAAUUUCAAAUUGCUUUGGCUGAAUGUUCUUUCCAUAUUUGCCACUUUCCUUAUUUAAAAAUUUCCUUAUUUAUCUUGACUUGAUUCCAACUUGGCUGGCUUGCUCUCUUUUGCUCCAUAUAAGGCAGUUUUAGGGGGAUUUUCUCCAAAGUGUCCUUUUACACUAUUUUCUGCAAAAUAAUAUUAAAAACACUAAAUUAAGUAGAAAUCAUGUAAAUAAUCAUUAAUAAUAUCAAUAUAAAAUGGACUAAAAUAUGCUCUAUCAAAUACCCCCACACAUUGCUUUUUGCUUGUCCUCAAGCAAAUAAACAUAGUUAAACAAGCUUUUUUACUCUAGAUCCUUAUUUCCACUUAAGCUCUUACUCUAAACACCUAUUUUGAAUCAUUGUAGUGAAGAAUAUAUGCAUCAAGGUUACUCAUCUUCUUUCCUUGUUUCCCUUUACUUACCAUGGCUAGGAUUUAUUUUCCUCAAGAGAGACCAUACAUGCACAUAUUGUUUGAUUAAGACUUUUCCUAGCUUUCAGAAUGACUUGCCCUUACCUUGAAGUACUUUAUUCAGGCUUCUGCACUUUUAUUCUUGCUUGAACAAGUCACUAACCUAUUGAUGUGGAAGUUUAGAUUUUCAGUUGGUCACUUUUCCAAGUGGCUACUAGCUCUGUUCAUGGUCUUUUGACCAUUGGAACAGUUUUUAAUUUAUGCUUUUGAGGUCUUUGCCUUUGCUAAAUUUCCUUUCUCUCAACGAUUUGGGCAAAUCAACACCAAUUGCUAGAUCAAGUCAUAUUAAGUUCAUUCACACAAUUUAAAUUUAUUCUCUCUAAUGAGGGUCAUCAAUAUAUUUUUCACCAUGGCAAGCUCAAAGAUCCAAUUCAGAAAGCAAUUCUCAAACAUGAAUAUAACUCACUGCAAUUGAUUCAACAUAAGUUUAAAGAGUUAUCACAUCAAUAGGGUCAUGGAAAGAAAGCUCAUCCAACACAGUCUAUAAGUUUGAGUAAAGCAUCUCAAAACGGAAACAAAAUAAAUAAAAAAAAACUGUGGCUAUCUGUGUAUUAUUGAAAGAAAAAAUAAAUUAAAAAAAAAAAUUAAACUGUGGCUAUUCGGAUCAAAGAAGAAAUCGCAGGAACGAGACUGAAACAAAGAAAACGCAAGACUGAAAGAAAAAUGAAAGAAAAUGCAAAAAUGGAGUUUCAGAUUUAUGCACCCCCACACCUAAAUUAUGCAUUGUCCUCAAUGUGUAGAAAAUAUUAAAAUGCAAGACAAACUGAGUACUCCCCUUGGGUAUGGAAUGCAAUCUGCGAUCUCCUAGUCUGACUGAGAUGGAUGGAGUAGUGGAAUUUCUUCCACCACUUGCACUGCAAAUCCUUCUUAAUAUGGUUUCAGACGAUGUCCAUUUACCUUGAAAAUCUUUCUAGUCUCUAUACUUCGGAUGUCUAUAGCUCCAUGGGGAUAGGCAUGUUCCACAAUGAAUGGCCCAAUCCACCUAGAUUGCAGCUUUCCUGGAAACAAUUUUGAACGAGAAUAAAAAAGUAAGACUUUAUCACCAACCUCAAAGUGUUUUCUUGAAAUCUGAUUGUCAUGGGAGGCUUUGGUUUUGGCUUUGUAGUUCCAAGAAGUCUCAUAGGCAUCUUGUCUUAUCUCUUCUAGCUCUUGCAGUUGCAAUUUGUGAUUGUGGCCAGCCUCUGUGAGAUUCAUAUUGCAACUCUUGACUGCCCAAUAGGCCUUGUGUUCGAGUUCAACUGGCAGAUGACAUGCUUUCCCAUAGACCAAUCUGUAAGGAGACAUACCUAUGGGAGUCUUGUAGGCUAUUCUGUAGGCCCAUAAAGCAUCUUCCAAUCUUGUACUCCAAUCGCUUCUGUUGGGGGAUACUGUCUUUUCAAGGAUGGCCUUGAUCUCUCUGUUGGACACUUCAGUUUGCCCAUUUGUCUGAGGGUGGUAGGCAGUGGAUGUUCUAUGUAUGACAUUAUGUUUUCUGAUAAGGUUUUCUACUACCUUAUUGCAAAAGUGAGUCCCUCUAUCACUGAUGAUUGCUUUGGGUACUCCAUGUCUGGCAAAAAUGUUGGUCUUUACAAAGUCUACUACUGCCUUGGCAUCAUCAGUUUUUGUUGCUCUACCUUCCACCCAUUUGGACACAUAAUCUACUGCAAGAAUGAUGUAGGUGUAUCCAAAAGAAGGUGGGAAUGGUUCCAUGAAGUCUAUGCCCCACACAUCAAACACCUCACAGACCAUGAUAGGAUUCUGUGGCAUUUGAUUUCUUUUGCUCAGAUUUCCAAUUUGUUGGCAUCUUGCACAUGAUCUACAAAACAAGAAAGCAUCUCGAAAAAUAGUGGGCCAAAAUAGGCCACUUUCAAGUAUUUUGUGAGCAGUCUUUCUUGGGCUAAAGUGCCCAUCACAACUGUAAGAAUGGCAAAAAGUAAGUACUGAAGCUAUUUCUUGGUCUGGGAUACAUCUCCGUAUCAUUUGAUCAGAACAGUGCUUCCACAAAUAUGGCUCAUCCCAAACAUAAUAUUUUGCAUCUUUCUUUAUUUUAUCUCUUGUGUGCUUGGGCAUAUCAGAAGGCAAGUUACUUGUGGCUAAGUAGUUUACCAUGUCUGCAUACCAUGGCUCAUCAGUCUGGGCAUGAAAAAUUUGCUCGUAGAAACCAUUCUCAACUUCCUCAGAUUCGGAAAGGGAUGUCUGUGUUGGACUCUUGUCAGAGAGGGUUUCAGGUGGCUUACCUUGCGCAGGACUGGACUCAGGGGAUCCCUUGUGGGCAAGAUUGGACUGCAGAAGAGGACUGGAAAGGCUCUCAUGCGCAGGAAGUUGAAAGGGUGCGAUGGCCUCCUCCCUUUGCGCAAGGUCCUUCUGCGCAUUCUUCUUGAGGGAGUUUCCUUCGUUCUGUGCUUGACUGCAACUCACCUGUUGGAUGCAACAGACAGUUUCUUUCAGUUUUGGCUCUGUCUGGAUUUCAUUCCUGUAAAGAUCAUCAUUCAGAAAAUCAUCUUGAUUUUUAUAAAAAAUUUCCUGGCUCAAGCAGUCAAUAAUAUCAAGACCGUAAACAGGGAACAUAUCAUGUAGAUAUUUCAUAGCAUCAUAGACAUUAAAUUUAAUCACUUCCCCUUCAAACUCCAUAGUCAAUGUACCAUCAUGCACAUCAAUUUUAGUCCUAGCAGUACUUAAGAAAGGACGUCCAAGAAGAAUAUCAGAAGUAGUGUUACAACUAUCUUCCUUAGUAUCAAUCACAUAAAAAUCUGUAGGAAAGACAAGUUCAUCUACUUGCACUAGAACAUCUUCUAGCACUCUUAUGGGAUGUACCACAGAUCUGUCAGCCAAUUGGAUGACUACUCUUGUGUCUUUUAGUGCACCUGCGUUCAAAGAAUGAUAAAUAGAAAGAGGCAUAACAUUAAUUGAUGCACCAAGAUCACACAUGGCUUUCUUAAUCCCAACAUUGCCUAUCUUGCAAGCAAUAGCAAACAUGCCUUUAUCUUUGCGCUUAGUAGGGAGUUCUCUUUUAAUAACAGCAGUCACAACCUCACCUACACUUACAUUUUCUUUUUCUACAAGCUUUCUUUUAUUAGUGCAAAGUUCUUUCAGAAAUUUAGCGUUCCUGGGAAUCUGCUUAACAGCAUCUAGCAGAGGUAUAUUGAUUUGCACUUUUUUGAAAGUAUCAAGAAUCUUCUUUUCUUAUUUUUCUUUUUGUGUUCUUUCAAAUCUCUUGGGAAAAGGAGGUGGAAUGUGAAAACUUACUUUCAGAUCAGCUCUUUGCGCAGGGGGUACUUCAGUUUGCGCAGGUGUGGCUUCCGGAGUGGAUUCUUGCGCAACAUGCUCUUCUGCAAUGGGUUCUUGCACAUGGCCCUUCCUUUCAUCUGUCUUGGCCUCUCUAAGCUCUCUUCCACUUCUCAAAGUGAUGGCACUAACAUUCUGUCUGGGGUUAGUUUCAGCUUGAGAAGGGAGCUUACCUUGUGAUUCAAGCUUGCUCAUGGAGGUGGCCAUUUGUCCCAUUUGUUGUUGGAGAGUCUGUACAGAAUUUGUCAAUGUCUCCAUCAUCUUUUCAAGGUGUUGGACAGAACUUGAAGGUGCUGGUUGGGCUUGGUUUCUUUGAUAGUUCUGAUAAUUAUUAGCCCUUCCAUAGCUCAAGUUUGGAUGGUCUCUCCAGUCAGGAUUGUAUGUGUUUGAAUAUGGAUCAUGCCUAGGCUGGUUGUAUCCUCCAAUGGCAUUAACUUGCUGGUUGUCAUCUUGAAGUGUAGGACAUUGAUUAGUGGGGUGUCCUACAUAAGCACAAAUACCACAUGGCCUAGGUGGCUGAGGUGGUGGAGCCUGUUGUGCUUGGCCUAAGACAAAAUUUUUCAUGACAGAGGUUAGUUCAGAAAGUUGAGAUGCAAUAGUAGAAGCACUUACCUCAUUGGUUCCUCUCUGCAGUUGUUUUUCUUCUCCAUAUUGCCUAGAAGAGGCUGCAAGGGUGGAAAUCAACUCUCUCAUUUCCCUAGGUGUCUUAUCUUCAAUCUUACCUCCACAGGCAACAUCAAUGAAUUUUCUUUCUGAAGAUAGCAAGCCUCCAUAAAAAAAGUCUAUGAGUGACUUAUCUGAAAUAUCAUGUUGAGGACACCCUGUACACAGUCUUUUAAAUCUUUCCCAAUAGUCAUAUAAAUCCUCAGAUGGCUUUUGCCUUAUGCUACUGAUUUCUCUUCUUAUGCCAAGAUGUAAUAGAUCCAAGUGGCAAAUAAAAUAACCAAUCUUUAGCAUAAUCAUCAAGGGAAAAAGUAAAAGCUCUCAACUUAACAUAAUCUUCAGUGACACCUUGGGGUCUCAUAGAUGAACAAACAAUAUGGAAUUCCUUCAAGUGUUUGUGUGGAUUUUCAUUUUCAAGACCUCUAAAUUUAGGGAGAAGAUGAAUCAAACCUGUUUUAAGUUCGAAAGGAACUAUCAGAGGUGGAUAAUUGAUGCAAAGUGGUGCUUGAUCACCUAUAGGUGCUGCCAACUCUCUUUGCACUGGGGGUCUUAUGGCUGGAUUUUCUUGAAUUAUUUGGUCAUGGACAGCAUGUCCAUUGUGGGCAGCAUGUUGUGGAUGUGGUUCAGCCAUGGAUGAAGAGGAAUGGUGCGAUUCAAAGGUGUUCAAAAGUGCUUCUGUGCAGGGCUCUCCUUGUGGUGCGAUUGGAGCUUCUUCCGGAGGAAUUGCUUGCUUUCCUAGUCGUCUGAGAGUGCGUUCUAUUUCCGGAUCGUAUGGCAGAGUGUCCCUACAUUCAGAUCUGGUCAUGGAAGAAAAAUAAACAAGUUAAAUCAAUUCUCCGGCAACGGCGCCAAUUUUUGACUCGCGGUUGUUGAAGCCGGUCAAAAAUAACCUUUCUGGUUACCAACAAAUUUACACUUGUAGAUAGCGGUGAAAGGAUCGAAUCCAUAGAGAAUUGAGAACUCACUUAUUUCUCUUUUUAUGACCAAGAAAAUAAACUGAAAUAAUAAUAAACUAAAAAUGAGAUAAAAACUGAAAGCGGGCUAAAACGAGAUAAACUGAAAUUGGGAUCAAAACUGUCAGCAAAGUAACAGGGGGAGUUUGGGAUUGAUUGUAGUAAACUAAUAAUCAGAACAAUAAUGGAAAGCAAAUAAUUAAAUAAAGAGUAACCAAUAAUGAGAAAGCUCUAGUUGAAGUAUUGGAUCCACUUUAGUUGUUGGGAUUAAUCACAGACACUUUGUUCUUUUGGGUUGACCCAAUAGAUUAGUUAUGGAGUUAGAAUAAGAUUCUCACUACCAUUAUCUCUCCUUAUUAUCAAAUUAAUUAGGGAACGUCCUCUAAUCAAUUAAUAAUCAACAAGUUGCCAAGGAACGUCCUUGGGCCUCAGGCAACAAACAACUGUUAAUUGCAUUAAGAAAUAGAGAGAUCCAAUCCUAGCUAUCCAAACGUAUGGAGAUAACGCUAGAUCAUGCAACUUCCUUGGUUUUUAUGCCAAGUGUUCUUAUGUAAGAAUAAUCUAAGCAAUUACGGACUUAAAUCAUUCAAAUUAAAAAAUAAUUAUUUUGCAAUAAAAAAUCAACGUAGAUCUCAAUAACAAAGUAAUAUGAAAAUUAAGUAUGAAAUUGCAUGAAUAUUGAACUCCCAAAAGUUAAACAAUGUUUGAUCAAGUCUCACAACCCAUUAAACAACUAAAGUUUCAACUAAUAUCCAACUAGAUUAAAAGAAUUCAGCCACUCAUGGCUGAAUUAAAAACAGAAAAUAAAAAGGGAAAUCAAAGAGGGAAGAAAAACCGAAGAUGGUGGUGGAGAGCCUCCUUGUGCGCCGAUCCUUACAAGAAGAGACGGUCUCUUUUGUUGGCCACUUAAGGAUCCUUUUAUAGGGGAUUUGAGAUGCUGUUUAGGUUUUCAAUUUUCUGUCCACAUGAAAGUGUGAGCUGCUGUCCAUGUGCAAGUGUUCCCACGCUUACCUUUGCACAUGUGAGGCGUGUAGCGUGUGGCUUGGUCCAUGUGUGCAAAGUGUGGGGCUGCCCUCCACUAGCUUGCUGCCCAAGUGUUUCUUGGCUGCCCUUGUGCUUCCAACAGGCUGCCCAAGACUCAAGUUGCUGCCCUUCACUCACAUACUUUGCCGCC